AAGACCUUGCGCUUUUGGAGCGGCCGAUGCCUGAUUAGCUUGUUGGUAAGGUAAAAGCUUACCAAGGCCUCGAUCAGUAGCUGGUCUGAGAGGACGACCAGCCACACUGGGACUGAGACACGGCCCAGACUCCUACGGGAGGCAGCAGUGGGGAAUUUUGGACAAUGGGGGCAACCCUGAUCCAGCCAUGCCGCGUGAGUGAAGAAGGCCUUCGGGUUGUAAAGCUCUUUCAGCCGGAACGAAACGGUUACGGAUAACACCCGUGACUACUGACGGUACCGGAAGAAGAAGCACCGGCUAACUACGUGCCAGCAGCCGCGGUAAUACGUAGGGUGCGAGCGUUAAUCGGAAUUACUGGGCGUAAAGCGUGCGCAGGUGGUUUUGUAAGUCAGAUGUGAAAGCCCCGGGCUCAACCUGGGAACU
Molecule: ribosomal RNA, 423 nt
Filed under: uncultured bacterium
Lineage: Bacteria
Description: bacterial SSU rRNA
Rfam family: Bacterial small subunit ribosomal RNA
Source: RNAcentral